Molecule: ribosomal RNA, 780 nt
Filed under: uncultured bacterium
Lineage: Bacteria
Description: bacterial SSU rRNA
Rfam family: Bacterial small subunit ribosomal RNA
Source: RNAcentral
AGAGUUUGAUCCUGGCUCAGGAUGAACGCUAGCGGCAGGCCUAAUACAUGCAAGUCGAACGGGUGUAGCAAUACACUAGUGGCGCACGGGUGCGUAACGCGUAACCAACCUGCCUGGAUCUGGGGGAUAGCCCGCCGAAAGGCGGAUUAAUACCGCAUAAGACUAUAGAGUGGCAUCACUUCGUAGUUAAAGAUUUAUUGGAUUCAGAUGGGGUUGCGUAGCAUUAGCUAGAUGGCGGGGUAACGGCCCACCAUGGCGACGAUGCUUAGGGGACCUGAGAGGGUGAUCCCCCACACUGGCACUGAGAUACGGGCCAGACUCCUACGGGAGGCAGCAGUAGGGAAUAUUGGGCAAUGGGCGAGAGCCUGACCCAGCCAUGCCGCGUGCCGGAUGAAGGCCUUCUGGGUUGUAAACGGCUUUUCUCAGGGAAGAAAAAGCCCAUGCGUGGGACACUGACGGUACCUGAGGAAUAAGCACCGGCUAACUCCGUGCCAGCAGCCGCGGUAAUACGGAGGGUGCAAGCGUUGUCCGGAUUUAUUGGGUUUAAAGGGUGCGUAGGUGGCUUGUUAAGUCCGGGGUGAAAGCCCACAGCUCAACUGUGGAACUGCCCUGGAUACUGGCGAGCUUGAGUCCAGACGAGGUUGGCGGAAUGGAUGCUGUAGCGGUGAAAUGCAUAGAUAGCAUCCAGAACCCCGAUUGCGUAGGCAGCUGACUAGGCUGGUACUGACACUGAGGCACGAAAGCGUGGGGAGCGAACAGGAUUAGAUACCCCAGUAGUCC